RNAcentral lists this ribosomal RNA (207 nucleotides) under Theileria equi. RNAcentral describes it as "partial small subunit ribosomal RNA". It matches the Rfam family "Eukaryotic small subunit ribosomal RNA", at positions 536 to 775 of the family's 1831-position model. Lineage: Eukaryota; Apicomplexa; Aconoidasida; Piroplasmida; Theileriidae. The record is from RNAcentral.
CCAGAGUAUCAAUUGGAGGGCAAGUCUGGUGCCAGCAGCCGCGGUAAUUCCAGCUCCAAUAGCGUAUAUUAAACUUGUUGCAGUUAAAAAGCUCGUAGUUGAAUUUCUGCUGUUUCGUUGACUGCGUUUGGCGUUUGUCAUCGUUGCGGCUUGGUUGGGUUUCGAUUAUUCGUUUCCCGGCGUUUACUUUGAGAAAAUUAGAGUGCU